Molecule: ribosomal RNA, 566 nt
Filed under: Austroplatypus incompertus
Lineage: Eukaryota; Metazoa; Arthropoda; Insecta; Coleoptera; Curculionidae
Description: partial 28S ribosomal RNA
Source: RNAcentral
AACCGUUUAGGGGUAAACCUGAGAAACCCGAAAGGUCGAAGGAAGAAAUUCAGUCGUGUAUCGCUAUUGGCGGGAUUGUAUAUUUGUUAGACGAUGAAUAAGUCUUAGUCGUCUUUAUUGAUGAUUAUUGAUUUGUUGGUCGCUACAUAUUUAUUCCGAUACCAAUGGUGAUGGCGUGCAUUUUUCUUCUGGUAGGACGUUGCGAUCCGUUGAGAUGUGUAUAUCGGUCUAAGACGAUUUGCGGAAGAGUUCAUUAAUACAUGUAUGGAUCACCGUAUAUGUUUAUUAUUAAUGAAUCCGUUUGUGAUCUGGCCGAUUUGCUCGACGGUAUUAUUAAUGGUUAAAGGUCGCUAUUUUAAUUAGCGUUAGAGGCAAGGCAAGUAUGUCAAUUUGUGUAAAAACAUUGUUAUUAUUAUUAUAAUGAUAAUGAUAAUGUUCUCGGUAAUCGGUAUUUAUUAUCAAUUCCGAGCCUUUGGCAUACUGUUGGUCGAGCAUAUCUCUUACACCGACCUUAUUAUUUUGAAUAAAACUAAUCGGCGACGCUAUAGCUUUGGGUACUUUCAGGA